GCCGGGCGUGGUGGUGUGCGCCUGUAGUCCCAGCUACUUGGGAGGCUGAGGCAGGAGAAUCACUUGAACCAGGGAGGCGGAGGUUGCAGUGAGCUGAGAUUGUGCCACUGCAUUCCAGCCUGGGCAACAGAGUGAGACCCUGUCUUAA
Molecule: unclassified non-coding RNA, 148 nt
Organism: Macaca fascicularis (crab-eating macaque)
Lineage: Eukaryota; Metazoa; Chordata; Mammalia; Primates; Cercopithecidae
Rfam family: Metazoan signal recognition particle RNA
About the family: The signal recognition particle (SRP) is a universally conserved ribonucleoprotein. It is involved in the co-translational targeting of proteins to membranes.
Source: Ensembl